This 460-nucleotide ribosomal RNA is filed under the name uncultured bacterium. RNAcentral's name for it is "partial 16S ribosomal RNA". It matches the Rfam family "Bacterial small subunit ribosomal RNA", at positions 338 to 795 of the family's 1533-position model. The record is from RNAcentral.
CCUACGGGAGGCAGCAGUGAGGAAUAUUGGUCAAUGGACGAGAGUCUGAACCAGCCAAGUAGCGUGAAGGAUGACUGCCCUAUGGGUUGUAAACUUCUUUUAUAAAGGAAUAAAACGAGGCAAGUGUGCCUUUUUGCAUGUACUUUAUGAAUAAGGAUCGGCUAACUCCGUGCCAGCAGCCGCGGUAAUACGGAGGAUCCGAGCGUUAUCCGGAUUGAUUGGGUUUAAAGGGAGCGUAGAUGGGUUGUUAAGUCAGUUGUGAGAGUUUGCGGCUCAACCGUAAAAUUGCAAUUGAUACUGGCAGUCUUGAGUACAGUUGAGGUAGGCGGAAUUCGUGGUGUAGCGGUGAAAUGCUUAGAUAUCACGAAGAACUCCGAUUGCGAAGGCAGCUUACUAAACUGCCACUGACAUUGAUGCUCGAAAGUGUGGGUAUCAAACAGGAUUAGAUACCCCAGUAGUC